Podarcis lilfordi (Lilford's wall lizard) is the source of this 78-nucleotide non-coding RNA. The record is from the annotation of a GenBank genome assembly. Lineage: Eukaryota; Metazoa; Chordata; Lepidosauria; Squamata; Lacertidae.
GUUGCUGAUAGCUCCGUUGGUGAGAGCAUGGUGCUGAUAACAUCGAGGUCUGGGUUCAAGUCCCCAUAUGCGGCACCU